Anolis carolinensis (green anole) is the source of this 1037-nucleotide long non-coding RNA. RefSeq lists it as uncharacterized. The record is from RefSeq and is a predicted model, not a curated record. The transcript has 3 exons. Lineage: Eukaryota; Metazoa; Chordata; Lepidosauria; Squamata; Anolidae.
GUUUCAGCUAGCUGCCUGGUUGUGACUAUUAAAUUGGAAGAGCUCUGCAGCUGACUCCAAUACAGAACCAUGACUGAUAUAAGCAAUGUCUGCACCAUUCUGAUAAGAACAUUAGAUGUCCCUGAAUAAGAUGUUGCUCAACAUUAAAGCUGUGACAACAGCUAUGCUGGCAUACAGAAGGUUUCCCAUACCCUUUUGCCAAAAGUAUGAGAAGUAAUAUGCCUCACCCAUCAAGACAAAUCAGGUCACUCUUCCUGCCAUCACCAAUUACUGUGAGCUGAAGUAGAAAAGCAACAGGAGGAAGAAGGAAGAAAGGUUAAAGGAGGAGGCAACAUAAGAUAUGAGAAAGGUGGUCAUUAAGCUCAUUUAGGGCAACUAGCAAGGAAGACAGUAAAACUGAAAAAGGUACCUCAGGGUGAAGGAAACUUUGUUAAAAAUUAUAUAAUUUUUUAAAUAUUAUAUAAAAUACAUAGAUGAAGAAAUCCGAUCACAUUUUAAACUUUCCCCCCACAUUUCUGGGGUGCAUCUACUUUUCUUGUACAAUCUAUGGAUUGUUUUCUUCUAGUGGUGUGGGGGAUGCCUCAUUCUUCCAGGCAAAGUUGGAAGUUGUGGGAGAGGUUUACCCACUAUCUUUGGACUCGUGGGGGGGGGGGGGGGGUGAGGAGCUUUGAGUUCUCUGUUGCAGAUUUGCUGCCAUGGAAAACUGCUUCAAAAAUCUAUCCUCGAAUUUUGGUGACAGACUGUGCCAUGAAGAGAUCAUGCUACUGACCUCUUCAUUUUUAAGAAACGCAUCUUACAUCUGAAAAGUAACUUGGGUCCCCUAUAUCUGCAAAAGUCACUUUUUCCUCUGGUAAAGUUCUUCACCAUGUAUAAUUCUGCCCUGGAAGUCAUUUCUUACCAGAAUAUUUGAAUGAAAUAUUUGAAGUUACAUUCUCUAGGCUUCUAAGAAUCAAAGAAAUAAUGAGUUAAACUGAAGCUCUAACAUAUUUUGAAGAAAAACAAGAAUAUUAUUCAAGAUUAAACAGAGUUGCAAUCAU